RNAcentral lists this non-coding RNA (29 nucleotides) under Mus musculus (house mouse). Lineage: Eukaryota; Metazoa; Chordata; Mammalia; Rodentia; Muridae. The record is from RNAcentral.
UUCAUAGAUCAUUUGUAAGGAUUCUUUAC